RNAcentral lists this unclassified non-coding RNA (240 nucleotides) under soil metagenome. RNAcentral's name for it is "partial contains 5.8S ribosomal RNA, internal transcribed spacer 2, and large subunit ribosomal RNA". The record is from RNAcentral.
AACGCACGAGACCUGCGGACCUGCGGAGGGAUCAUUACCGAGUGUUACAGCUCCCAAACCCACUGUGAACGUACCCAUCGUUGCUUCGGCGGGACCGCCCCGGCGCCUCCGCGCGCCGGGCACGGGCGCCCGCCGGGGGCCCGAAACUCUUGCCUCCUCGCGUGGAUUCUCUGAGUGGCACGAAAAGGGAAAAUGAAUCAAAACUUUUAACAACGGAUCUCUAGAUCGGAAGAGCACACG